AUUAAGAUGGCAGACUAGUGCACUAGACUUAAGCUCUAAAUAUAAGAUCCUAUCUUUCUUAAUA
Molecule: transfer RNA, 64 nt
Filed under: Marenzelleria neglecta
Lineage: Eukaryota; Metazoa; Annelida; Polychaeta; Spionida; Spionidae
Description: tRNA-Leu
Source: RNAcentral